CUACGGGCGGCUCCAGUCAAGAAUCUUCCUCAAUGGGCGAAAGCCUGAAGGAGCAAUGCCGCGUGGUUGAUGACGCUUUUCGGAGUGUAAAAACCUUUUAUCAGGGACGAAUUCGUGACGGUACCUGAUGAAUAAGUCACUGCUAACUUCGUGCCAGCAGCAGCGGUAAUACGAAGGUGGCAAGCGUUACCCGGAUUUAUUGGGCGUAAAGGGUCCGCAGACGGUUUGAAAAGUUCUUGGUCAAAUCUUGAGGCUUAACUUCAAGACUGCCAAGAAAACUUUCAGACUAGAGACCGGGAGAGGCAAGUAGAAUUGCUGGUGUAGUAGUAAAAUGCGUUGAUAUCAGCAGGAAUACCAAAAGCGAAGGCAGCUUGCUAGAACGGUUCUGACGUUCAGGGGCGAAAGCGUGGGUAGCGAAUGGGAUUAGAUACCCCCGUAGUC
This 441-nucleotide ribosomal RNA is filed under the name uncultured bacterium. RNAcentral describes it as "partial 16S ribosomal RNA". It matches the Rfam family "Bacterial small subunit ribosomal RNA", at positions 339 to 795 of the family's 1533-position model. The record is from RNAcentral.